RNAcentral lists this ribosomal RNA (624 nucleotides) under Mycobacterium sp. So1Pt_97. Its description in RNAcentral is "bacterial SSU rRNA". It matches the Rfam family "Bacterial small subunit ribosomal RNA", at positions 389 to 1022 of the family's 1533-position model. The record is from RNAcentral. Lineage: Bacteria; Bacillati; Actinomycetota; Actinomycetes; Mycobacteriales; Mycobacteriaceae.
CAGCGACGCCGCGUGAGGGAUGACGGCCUUCGGGUUGUAAACCUCUUUCAAUAGGGACGAAGCGCAAGUGACGGUACCUAUAGAAGAAGGACCGGCCAACUACGUGCCAGCAGCCGCGGUAAUACGUAGGGUCCGAGCGUUGUCCGGAAUUACUGGGCGUAAAGAGCUCGUAGGUGGUUUGUCGCGUUGUUCGUGAAAACUCACAGCUCAACUGUGGGCGUGCGGGCGAUACGGGCAGACUAGAGUACUGCAGGGGAGACUGGAAUUCCUGGUGUAGCGGUGGAAUGCGCAGAUAUCAGGAGGAACACCGGUGGCGAAGGCGGGUCUCUGGGCAGUAACUGACGCUGAGGAGCGAAAGCGUGGGGAGCGAACAGGAUUAGAUACCCUGGUAGUCCACGCCGUAAACGGUGGGUACUAGGUGUGGGUUUCCUUCCUUGGGAUCCGUGCCGUAGCUAACGCAUUAAGUACCCCGCCUGGGGAGUACGGCCGCAAGGCUAAAACUCAAAGAAAUUGACGGGGGCCCGCACAAGCGGCGGAGCAUGUGGAUUAAUUCGAUGCAACGCGAAGAACCUUACCUGGGUUUGACAUGCACAGGACGCCGGCAGAGAUGUCGGUUCCCUUGUG